Molecule: long non-coding RNA, 1432 nt
Organism: Gasterosteus aculeatus aculeatus (three-spined stickleback)
Lineage: Eukaryota; Metazoa; Chordata; Actinopteri; Perciformes; Gasterosteidae
Source: Ensembl
AAAAGCUCAGUGGCUCGACUUGUAGGUUGAAAUCAUAUCCCCGACUUUGCUGAAACUGCUCUGAAAUCUCUAACUUGGAGCCAUCCGCACGAAUCGCUCCACAACAUUUACUGCCGGUUCAAUCGGAUUUCCACUUGUCGGGCCAGAAGAGGGUGAGGAGCAACGGACGUACGGAGUGAACAGUUGGCUUUAUUGAAGUUCACGCUGGGUUUAUCAGCAGCGGUACCGACAAAGGCUCACGGGACACUUUGAUCUUCAAAGAGAAGUGAGCUAGAACGAGGAGCAAUAAGAAGAUAAUAAUGCCAAUCUGCGUCAAUUACUCCAUAGAUCACAGGGUUACCCCGACAGGGACGAGCAGGAGCAGGAGGAGGAGCCGUGUUCCAUGUUACCACAUUGCCAUCUGGCGAUACGGCUGGAGACUAACCUCUGCUCCACUAGAGGGAUUUACGAAUGCACCGAGAGGUUCCUGACACAGCGGACCUACAAAAUAGGAAACUAAUGGAUCCACAACACAACCAGUUGUCCGUUAUGGAGGAAGACGAACUGCUGGAGAUUGCAAACGACGAAGUCAUACAAGUAUCUGAGAUCAGAAACGAUGAAGAACAAGCCAUUUCCAACAUCCUAAACUUAAAAAAAAAAAAAUAUGACGCAGUAGAUAAUAACAGAAGGGACCGUCUCGUUUGUAAUUGUUUCCAUGCUUUCUGUUUUAUAUAUUUUGAUAUCUUCAUUUGUUUUUUAUGCUGGCCUAAUCUUUGGACGUGGACGUCCAUGGUGCAAAAAAAAAUGGGUUGGGGGACCCAUUCUUAGCUUUAUCCAAGAGCACCACCUUGUGGCUGAUGUAGCCAACUGUCGUAGCUUUAUACUGGGAAGUUGGCGAGCUCACCCAUUUUUAAAAGCAUUUACGUUGACACAGUGAAUUAGUUUCCAGGGUGAAAUCCUGCACCUGUAUUUUUGACAAGUUACUCCUUGCACACAAUUUAUUUGAUUGUGAUUAUUCAGUUCUCCCACGACAUCUUUCCAAAUUGUUUUGUGCAAGCAACUAUUCAACCGCUCAUGAUGAAAUGUAAACAAGAUGAAUAAUGUUGAUCCUUUAUCACUCUACAAUCACAGCCCAGUUACUAAAUUACCCCCUUUUAUCUUCAGUGCUGCAAUUUUUUACCAUAUUAUCCGUUUCGAGAGCAGCUUUCAACACAAAUCGAUCACUCUGUGCUUCUGUACCGUCUGGAAACCUGCGUUAGUACAAAGGGAACCCGCUGCGUUCUCACCUCUCCAAUAGAACUUUCUCUGCUAUUAAAUGUCCUUUCUUCUGUGACUCAUUUUCAUCUUGUGGCCUUGUGGUGGGUUGAUUAUUGGGCUUCUGCUGUUGUCUAUAAACAUGAUUCUCCCUCAGCCAGAUCAUUCUGAAGCUUUAUUUAUGUGCAUGACACACGGC